RNAcentral lists this ribosomal RNA (405 nucleotides) under uncultured bacterium. Its description in RNAcentral is "partial 16S ribosomal RNA". It matches the Rfam family "Bacterial small subunit ribosomal RNA", at positions 28 to 526 of the family's 1533-position model. The record is from RNAcentral.
GAUGAACGCUGGCGGCGUGCCUAAUACAUGCAAGUCGAGCGAAGCGGGGACGGGUGAGUAACACGUGGAUAACCUCCUAUAAGACUGGGGUAACUUCGGGAAAACGGAGAUAAACAGGAAACUUAUAGAUGGAUCCGAGCUGGAUUAGGUAGUGGGUAAGGUAACGGCUUACCAAGGCAAAGAUGCAUAGCCGACCUGAGAGGGUGAUCGGCCACAUUGGAACUGAGACACGGCCCAGACUCCUACGGGAGGCAGCAGUAGGGAAUCUUCCGCAAUGGGCGAAAGCCUGACCGAGCAACGCCGCGUGAGUGAUGAAGGUCUUCGGAUCGUAAAACUCUGUUAUUAGGGAAGCGGUACCUAAUCAGAAAGCCACGGCUAACUACGUGCCAGCAGCCGCGGUAAUUC